Molecule: ribosomal RNA, 460 nt
Filed under: uncultured bacterium
Lineage: Bacteria
Description: partial 16S ribosomal RNA
Rfam family: Bacterial small subunit ribosomal RNA
Source: RNAcentral
CCUACGGGAGGCUGCAGUGAGGAAUAUUGGUCAAUGGACGAGAGUCUGAACCAGCCAAGUAGCGUGAAGGAUGACUGCCCUAUGGGUUGUAAACUUCUUUUAUAUGGGAAUAAAAUGUUCCACGUGUGGGAUUUUGUAUGUACCAUAUGAAUAAGGAUCGGCUAACUCCGUGCCAGCAGCCGCGGUAAUACGGAGGAUCCGAGCGUUAUCCGGAUUUAUUGGGUUUAAAGGGAGCGUAGGUGGAUUGUUAAGUCAGUUGUGAAAGUUUGCGGCUCAACCGUAAAAUUGCAGUUGAAACUGGCAGUCUUGAGUACAGUAGAGGUGGGCGGGAUUCGUGGUGUAGCGGUGAAAUGCUUAGAUAUCACGAAGAACUCCGAUUGCGAAGGCAGUUCACUGGACUGCAACUGACACUGAGGCUCGAAAGUGUGGGUAUCAAACAGGAUUAGAUACCCUUGUAGUC